RNAcentral lists this ribosomal RNA (877 nucleotides) under uncultured bacterium. Its description in RNAcentral is "bacterial SSU rRNA". It matches the Rfam family "Bacterial small subunit ribosomal RNA", at positions 45 to 916 of the family's 1533-position model. The record is from RNAcentral.
GGCUUACCAUGCAGUCGAGGGGCAGCAUUUCAGUUUGCUUGCAAACUGGAGAUGGCGACCGGCGCACGGGUGAGUAACACGUAUCCAACCUGCCGAUAACUCGGGGAUAGCCUUUCGAAAGAAAGAUUAAUACCCGAUGGUAUAAUCAGACCGCAUGGUCUUGUUAUUAAAGAAUUUCGGUUAUCGAUGGGGAUGCGUUCCAUUAGGCAGUUGGUGAGGUAACGGCUCACCAAACCUUCGAUGGAUAGGGGUUCUGAGAGGAAGGUCCCCCACAUUGGAACUGAGACACGGUCCAAACUCCUACGGGAGGCAGCAGUGAGGAAUAUUGGUCAAUGGGCGCUAGCCUGAACCAGCCAAGUAGCGUGAAGGAUGACUGCCCUAUGGGUUGUAAACUUCUUUUAUAUGGGAAUAAAGUGGUCCACGUGUGGAUUUUUGUAUGUACCAUAUGAAUAAGGAUCGGCUAACUCCGUGCCAGCAGCCGCGGUAAUACGGAGGAUCCGAGCGUUAUCCGGAUUUAUUGGGUUUAAAGGGAGCGUAGGUGGACUGGUAAGUCAGUUGUGAAAGUUUGCGGCUCAACCGUAAAAUUGCAGUUGAUACUGUCAGUCUUGAGUACAGUAGAGGUGGGCGGAAUUCGUGGUGUAGCGGUGAAAUGCUUAGAUAUCACGAAGAACUCCGAUUGCGAAGGCAGCUCACUGGACUGCAACUGACACUGAUGCUCGAAAGUGUGGGUAUCAAACAGGAUUAGAUACCCUGGUAGUCCACACAGUAAACGAUGAAUACUCGCUGUUUGCGAUAUACAGUAAGCGGCCAAGCGAAAGCAUUAAGUAUUCCACCUGGGGAGUACGCCGGCAACGGUGAAACUCAAAGGAAUUGACGG